CCUACGGGUGGCAGCAGUGGGGAAUAUUGGGCAAUGGGCGCAAGCCUGACCCAGCAACGCCGCGUGAAGGAAGAAGGCUUUCGGGUUGUAAACUUCUUUUCUCAGGGACGAAGAUAGUCACGGUACCUGAGGAAUAAGCUACGGCUAACUACGUGCCAGCAGCUGCCGGAAUACGUAGGUGGCAAGCGUUAUCCGGAUUUAUGGGGUGGAAAGGGCGUGUUGGCGGGAGCGCAAGCCAGAUGUGAAAACUCAGGGGUCCACCCUGGGCCUGCAUUUGAAACUGGGUUUCUUGAGUGCGGGAGAGGCAAUCGGAAUUCCGUGUGUAGCGGUGAAAUGCGUAGAUAUACGGAAGAACACCAGUGGCGAAGGCAGAUUACUGGACAGUAACUGACGCUGAGGCGCGAAAGCGUGGGGAGCAAACAGGAUUAGAUACCCGUGUAGUC
RNAcentral lists this ribosomal RNA (443 nucleotides) under uncultured bacterium. RNAcentral describes it as "partial 16S ribosomal RNA". It matches the Rfam family "Bacterial small subunit ribosomal RNA", at positions 338 to 795 of the family's 1533-position model. The record is from RNAcentral.